RNAcentral lists this ribosomal RNA (475 nucleotides) under uncultured bacterium. Its description in RNAcentral is "bacterial SSU rRNA". It matches the Rfam family "Bacterial small subunit ribosomal RNA", at positions 33 to 518 of the family's 1533-position model. The record is from RNAcentral.
ACGCUGGCGGCGUGCCUAACACAUGCAAGUCGAACGGACUGAUUCCUUCGGGAAUGAAAGUUAGUGGCGGACGGGUGAGGUAACGCGUGAGCAACCUGCCUUUCAGAGGGGAAUAACGUUUGGAAACAGACGCUAAUACCGCAUAACGCAUAGGUGUCGCAUGGCAUUUAUGCCAAAGGAGCAAUCCGCUGAAAGAUGGGCUCGCGUCCGAUUAGAUAGUUGGUGGGGUAACGGCCUACCAAGUCGACGAUCGGUAGCCGGACUGAGAGGUUGAACGGCCACAUUGGGACUGAGACACGGCCCAGACUCCUACGGGAGGCAGCAGUGGGGGAUAUUGCACAAUGGGCGAAAACCUGAUGCAAGCAACGCCGCGUGAGGGAUGACGGUUUUCGGAUUGUAAACCGUCUGUCUUUGGUGACGAACAAAUGACGGUAGCCGAGGAGGAAGCCACGGCUAACUACGUGCCAGCAGCAGC